GUCUAGAGGCUUCCGCAAUGGGGGAAACCCUGACGGAGCGACGCCGCGUGUGCGAUGAAGGUCCUCGGAUCGUAAAGCACUGUUAGAUGGGAAGAAAUGGAGAUGAUGAAUAGUCAUUUCCGCUGACGGUACCAUCAGAGGAAGCUCCGGCUAACUCCGUGCCAGCAGCCGCGGUAAGACGGAGGGAGCGAGCGUUGUUCGGAUUUAUUGGGCGUAAAGAGCACGUAGGCGGUAAAGUGAGUCUGGUGUGAAAGCCCCGCUGCUCAACAGGGGGAGUGCACCGGAUACUGCUUUACUUGAGUAUAGGAGAGGAAAAUGGAAUUCCAUGUGUAGCGGUGGAAUGCGGAGAUAUAUGGAAGAACACCAGUGGCGAAGGCGGUUUUCUGGCCUAAUACUGACGCUGAGGUGCGAAAGCCAGGGGAGCAAACGGGAUUAGAUACCCGUGUAGUCC
RNAcentral lists this ribosomal RNA (451 nucleotides) under uncultured bacterium. Its description in RNAcentral is "bacterial SSU rRNA". It matches the Rfam family "Bacterial small subunit ribosomal RNA", at positions 354 to 796 of the family's 1533-position model. The record is from RNAcentral.